GAGGUCCAGAUCAGGGGCCAUUCAGUACAAAGCGUUUUAUAUCUUGACUUAUGAGGGGACAAUAGUUGGUCUUACAAAGGCACCACCUGUGAUUUAGCAUUGUUGACAUCUUUGUUAAGGAGGAGCCGGAGGGCAGCGGCGAAACAGCACGUGCACGAUAAGGAAGGACCCCGUUACGGCGACCCACCUUCAAGGCCGUUUCGCGCCGUUGCUGACGCCUGGUCAGGUUUCCUGGCUUACAGAUUUUCGAAAGGGUGUGGGGAGAGAGAAAGGAAGUGAGCGUAGUACACGCUCGUGGAGCCAAAGCUCUUGGACUUACGGCUUGCCAGUGCCCAGCUGCUCCAUUUUACAGAUAGUGACAAUAUUUGUGCUUUCCCGGUGAUGUGUGAAUCAUGAGUUUAAACAGCAGUUCCCAUGGAAGAGAUCACAGGAAGAAACUAAACCAGAGCAUGCCUCAGCCCAGUGAUGACAUCAGAGAAGCCUCAGGCACAUCAUCCAAUCUCUGAGUACUGCUUUUCUACUAUGGGGAGAGAAAAUGAAGGUGGUCAUACUUGCCCUUUUCAUCAGGGAAAAUUACUUUAAAUUUAUAUGUGAAAUUAAUUAGUAAAUUGAAACUUAUGUUGUUAUUUUAGUCUUUGGCAUAUACCAGGGGUCCCCAACCCCCAGACCAGGAACCAGUACUGGUCGGUGGCCUGUUAGGAACUGGGCUGCACAGCAGGAGGUGAGCGGCAGACGAGGGAGAAUUACCACCUGAGCUCUGUCUCCUGUCAGAUCAGCGGCAGCAUUAGAUUCUCAUAAAAGCGCGAAACCUAUUGUGAACCACACAUGCGAGGGAUUUAGGUUGCAUGCUUGUGAGAAUCUAAUGUCUAAUGAUCUGAGGUGGAACAGUUUCACCCCAAAACCAUCCCUCCACACCUGUCUGUGGAAAAAUUGUCUUCUACGACACUGGCCCCUGGUGCCAAAAAAGAUUGGGGUCCACUGACAUAUAGGAAUAGCUCUAUAAAUGUUUGUUGGAUGACGUCUACAGUGCUAAUGAUCUCCAUGCACAAGGUUUAGGAAAUUGGGCUGAAUCAAUACAAAUCCCAGAUCAUACCCAGGAGGCGGAGGUUGCAGUGAGCCGAGAUUGUGCCAUUGCACUCCAGCCUGGGUAACAACAGCGAAACUCCGUCUCAAAAAAAAAAAAAAGAAAAACUGAUUAGUUUUCUUGAUACUAAAUUCCUCAUGUGAGCUUGUCUUGUUAGCACUAUCUUUCACAAACUGAGAUGUA
RNAcentral lists this long non-coding RNA (1267 nucleotides) under Callithrix jacchus (white-tufted-ear marmoset). RNAcentral describes it as "lncRNA (ENSCJAG00000073799.1)". Lineage: Eukaryota; Metazoa; Chordata; Mammalia; Primates; Cebidae. The record is from RNAcentral.